CGGGUGAGCAGGUAACGACAUCUCCUCUUCCUGCAUUUAGUCGUUACGAUUACGAUCAGCAACUGUUUUUUUUAUCUUUGGUUUAUAUGUGCUCCAAGCUAGUUCAAUGCUUUGUGAGUUCGUUCGAGACCUGUCACAAUCUCCAGUUGAUUGACAUUGCUGACCUGCGGUCCGUGGCGGAACGCCUGCCCGCUGACCCCCGCAUUAGACAAGGUGCCACCGACCGUGAGAUGGAGGUAGUCCGUCCACGACUUGGGUGCCAGACCGUGCUUGAGCGUCUCACGCAGCACGUUGAUCCAGAGCUCUCCUCCGGGAGCAUCGACAGACGGUGGCGACACGCCGGCGUCGUUGACCUGAAGCCUAGGACCCCGGAGCGACUCCAUCCUGACCACGAUCCCCUGGGCGGCCUGGGACUGGCCCAUGAGGGAGUGCCCGUGCCCGCGCGCCGCGACCGUGAGCGGCGAGCCCUCGCCCAGGGAGAAGACGUGCCUAACGGUGGCGGCGAUGUCGGAGACCGAGCCAGGGUGGAGCACGGCGGCCGGCAGGAAGCUGCACUGGUUGCCGAAGUCCCGCGCCAUGGCGGAGACGUCGUGGAAACUGAAAUGGCCGUCGAGGCGCAGCGCGCCGAGGGACAAGAGCACGUCCUCGUCGGGGACGUGCAUGGUCAGCCUGGCGAGCGCCAGCAGGACCAGCAGCUUGAAGUAGUGCACCAGUGAUGAUGGCGGCUUCAUGGUGGCCGGCCGGUCGGCGCUGGGCAGUUGGGACGUCCUGGAAACAGAAGGCAGAGAGAGAGAGAGAGAGAGAGAGAGAGAGAGAGAGAGAUGGGGUUUCCUGUUGUCGAGCAAAGUUUCUUGAUGAGAUGACGCGACAAGGUAAGAAGAGGAAGACGGAGAGAGAAGAGGGGGUUGGAGAAGGCGGUGGCUGUCCAUGCAGGGGAGGGAGCCUCUCUAUAUAGGAGCUUGCCUUGCAAGGAGUGUGGCGGUGCGGCGCGGCGGUCAGCUAGACAGACAGCUAGUCAGUCGUGGCCUCGUGGGCGGGCGGGGCGCUAGCCGUUUGGUAAAAACCGUAUGCCGACUGUCUGCCUGCUUGCCGGUUGCAAAUUCAGGCGCAGACAUGCGCUA
This 1121-nucleotide unclassified non-coding RNA is filed under the name Zea mays. Its description in RNAcentral is "misc RNA Zm00001eb363230". The record is from RNAcentral. Lineage: Eukaryota; Viridiplantae; Streptophyta; Magnoliopsida; Poales; Poaceae.